GGGGUGGGUGGGCAGAGAAUGUGGCUGCAUGUAAGGAAUAAGCAUGGAAUGUAAAAGGCAGAUCAUUUGGGGCAUUUUAGAACUAGUUCCAGACUUUGGACUUUAUUCUAAUUGCUGUGAAAAACUCUGAAGAAGUUGGAGUUCACAUUUCCUAUAUAGAAUUAUCAGAACACCGUGGAAUGCACUGGGCUGCUAACAAUGGAUGAUGGAGACCAGCUAGAAGACAUUAUUUAAGGAAAGGCGGAGUUCUGGGUGGCAGGAGUCUGAGAGUCUAGAAAAGAUUAGAGGAUGGCGUUUUCUUCUCUUAAUCUACCCACUCAGCACUAGCAACUUUAUGGAAGCGAACCGGGAGGCCUCACUUCUCACUAUGAAUCACAUGGCAGGGGCUUAUUAAAACCCUGCUCAGAAAUGUCCUACACUCCAUAUUUCAUCCAACCCCCAGGUGAACACAAUAGAUCUCACCAGGAUAUGAAAAGAAGCUUAGUUUCUUAGUAAAUCAAAUAUAUCUCACUGGAUUCUGAGACCAGGGAAUUAAGAAUCAACACGAUGCUAAGAUAUGAAACCUUCUGGAUGAUACAAAACUGCCUACAGGCAAGACUCAGCGCCAUUGAAUGAAUCAAAAGAAUGUACUUGGAGUUUGUAUUAUUGCUUCAGACAUGCCAAACAUUUGAGCCUAUCUACUCUCAGAUUAUCAUCAUGGACCCUCCAUAAAAGUGACCCUUACUCAACUCUGGUUUGGAAAAAGAUGGUCCUCCAUCUGACGUCUCAUAAGAAGUAUUCCUGCCCAGAUGAAAUGAAGGUACUCCUAGAGCCUGAUUGCCGUGAUUUCAGACGACGAUCAGUUGACAAGGAAAGAGAAUCCUAAAGUUCCUGACCUUUCAGGAAGUGUACUGGAUGUGAGGAUAGCUAUAGCAAGAAUUCAUGAAACAGACAGAAUCUUCUGGAAUAUGAGGAUCUUCUCUUCUGAAUAUGAGGAUCAUAUUGGGCAUGAAACACACAAGGGAGGAAUGUUCUGGCACCGGCACCACACGUGGUCACAAUAACGACAGAGGCUGAAAUCCAAAAAAAAAAAAAAAAGAAGAAGAAGAAAGAAAAAAAAAUUCAUUAUGCAAAAUAAAAUUCUGUGCUGAAAUAUUGCAUGGCUUCCAUAACAGUUGUAUUAUUUGAAAAAUAACAGAGCUGCAUGCCUCUGUUUUAUGUGAAAUUUUGGCUUGGUGUUUCUCUCAUUUUCAAGAAUUUUUUAGUCUUUCUUUCAUAUUUAAUUAUUUACUAAACUGAAGAAUACCAAAGAAAGAUUAUUUUGUCCCACUGAGAAAAUGUCAAUAUUAUACAGUUUAUAUUAGCUUCUCUCUCUUUUUUUUUAAACAGCAAAACAAAAACAGAUUUCUA
RNAcentral lists this long non-coding RNA (1389 nucleotides) under Mustela putorius furo (domestic ferret). RNAcentral's name for it is "lncRNA (ENSMPUG00000027263.1)". The record is from RNAcentral. Lineage: Eukaryota; Metazoa; Chordata; Mammalia; Carnivora; Mustelidae.